This 253-nucleotide ribosomal RNA is filed under the name uncultured bacterium. RNAcentral's name for it is "partial 16S ribosomal RNA". It matches the Rfam family "Bacterial small subunit ribosomal RNA", at positions 524 to 776 of the family's 1533-position model. The record is from RNAcentral.
UACGUAGGGUGCAAGCGUUAAUCGGAAUUACUGGGCGUAAAGCGUGCGCAGGCGGUUGUGCAAGACAGAUGUGAAAUCCCCGGGCUUAACCUGGGAAUUGCAUUUGUGACUGCAUGGCUGGAAUGCGGCAGAGGGGGAUGGAAUUCCGCGUGUAGCAGUGAAAUGCGUAGAUAUGCGGAGGAACACCGAUGGCGAAGGCAGCCCCCUGGGUCAAGACUGACGCUCAUGCACGAAAGCGUGGGGAGCAAACAGG